GGACGAGUCAUGCUCUAGAUUUCCUAAAGCUUGCAUGCACCAUUCUAUUUAGAAAUAGCUUUGUGUGGUACUCUGCUAUAAAAGCGUUACCAUAAUCCCAAAAAAGGCUGUGCUGACAAAGGGUUGCUUGAGGACUACACCCAAAGCAGGUGUUAUCAGUGAGGGCAUCACUGUUGCCAGCUCAGUCCCCUAACAUGGCUUCCCCUGGAUGGACUCACAAACGUUUCAAAAGAAUAGCAUGGCAGCAGAGGUUGAACCUUCCUGCCAAUAUUCUGUUCCACGUUGUUGUGUGACAGCUGGCAGCAGAGGAGCAGUCUGACAAAAUGGCGUCUGACAUGGAAGUGCGCAUGGAGCAGUGGUGUAGAACUGAGUUCCUCCAUGGAGAAAAAAUGGCACCCUGUGACAUUCACUGAAGCCUGCUGAACCAAACAGAAGAUGUGAGCACACUGAGGCAGUGAGUGGUUGCAUUUUGGCAGCGGCAACAGUGACAGCAGGUCUACUGGUGCUGAUUUUUAUGAGCAUGACAUGCAUGCUCUUGUUCAUUGGUGGUGAAAAUGCAUCGCUAAUGAUGGUGACUAUGUUGAAAAAGAGUGUUUUGUAGCUGAG
This is a long non-coding RNA of Gallus gallus (chicken), 606 nucleotides long. Lineage: Eukaryota; Metazoa; Chordata; Aves; Galliformes; Phasianidae. The record is from Ensembl.